Molecule: small RNA, 112 nt
Filed under: Salmonella enterica subsp. enterica serovar Bredeney
Lineage: Bacteria; Pseudomonadati; Pseudomonadota; Gammaproteobacteria; Enterobacterales; Enterobacteriaceae
Also listed under: 1 other name
Description: partial RtT sRNA
Rfam family: RtT RNA
About the family: This family represents a bacterial cis-regulatory element known as RtT RNA. The exact function of RtT is unknown although it is thought that it may be involved in changing the cellular response in relation to amino acid starvation.
Source: RNAcentral
GGAUGAGAAGCUUCGACUAAGGUUCGAUUCGAGCGCAGCGAGAAAGCGUUGCCGUAGGCAACGACCCGAAGGGCGAAGCGCGCAGCGCUGAGUAAUCCUUCCCCCGUCAUCC